AUUGAACGCUGGCGGCAUGCCUUACACAUGCAAGUCGAACGGCAGCACGGGUGCUUGCACCUGGUGGCGAGUGGCGAACGGGUGAGUAAUACAUCGGAGCGUACCUUAUCGUGGGGGAUAACGCAGCGAAAGCUGUGCUAAUACCGCAUACGCCCUGAGGGGGAAAGCGGGGGAUCGCAAGACCUCGCGCGAUUAGAGCGGCCGAUGCCUGAUUAGCUUGUUGGUGGGGUAAAAGCCCACCAAGGCGACGAUCAGUAGCUGGUCUGAGAGGACGAUCAGCCACACUGGGACUGAGACACGGCCCAGACUCCUACGGGAGGCAGCAGUGGGGAAUAUUGGACAAUGGGGACAACCCUGAUCCAACAAUGCCGCGUGAGUGAAGAAGGCCUUCGGGUUGUAAAGCUCUUUUGUCAGGGAAGAAACACCGGCUCUAACACAGUCCGGGAAUGACGGUACCUGAAGAAUAAGCACCGGCUAACUACGUGCCAGCCGCCGCCGUAA
Molecule: ribosomal RNA, 501 nt
Filed under: uncultured bacterium
Lineage: Bacteria
Description: partial 16S ribosomal RNA
Rfam family: Bacterial small subunit ribosomal RNA
Source: RNAcentral